GGGUCAGUAGGUUGGUCGUGCCACCGGUACGUACUGGUCUCACUGACUCCUCCUUCCUGAAGAACCGUAAUGCCAUUAAUUUGGUGUUGCGGGGAAACAGGACUGUUACUUUGAAAAAAUUAGAGUGUUUAAAGCAAGCUAACGCUUGAAUACAUCAGCAUGGAAUAAUGAAAUAGGACGAUCGAUCCUAUUUUGUUGGUUUCUAGGAUUGACGUA
RNAcentral lists this ribosomal RNA (216 nucleotides) under Glomeromycotina sp. RNAcentral's name for it is "partial small subunit ribosomal RNA". The stretch from base 75 to 216 matches the Rfam family "Eukaryotic small subunit ribosomal RNA", at positions 721 to 864 of the family's 1831-position model. The record is from RNAcentral. Lineage: Eukaryota; Fungi; Glomeromycota.